CCAACAGGGAUUGCCUCAGUAACGGCGAGUGAAGCGGCAACAGCUCAAAUUUGAAAUCUGGCCCUCCGGCCCGAGUUGUAAUUUGCAGAGGAUGCUUCUGGCGCGGUGCCUUCCAAGUCCCCUGGAACGGGGCGCCAUAGAGGGUGAGAGCCCCGUCUGGUCGGCCGCCAAGCCUGUGUGAAGCUCCUUCGACGAGUCGAGUAGUUUGGGAAUGCUGCUCUAAAUGGGAGGUAGACCCCUUCUAAAGCUAAAUACCGGCCAGAGACCGAUAGCGCACAAGUAGAGUGAUCGAAAGAUGAAAAGCACUUUGAAAAGAGGGUUAAACAGUACGUGAAAUUGUUGAAAGGGAAGCGCUUGUGACCAGACGUGCGCCGGGGUGUUCAGCGGGCGUUCUCGCCCGUGCACUCGCCCCGGCGCAGGCCAGCGUCGGUCCGGAUGGGGGGACAAAGGCGCCGGGAACGUAGCUCCUCCGGGAGUGUUAUAGCCCGGCGUGCCAUGCCCCCGCCUGGACCGAGGUUCGCGCUCCGCAAGGACGCUGGCGUAAUGGUCCCCAGCGGCCCGUCUUGAAACACGGACCAAGGAGUCGAGGUUUUGCGCGAGUGUUUGGGUGUCAAACCCGCACGCGUAAUGAAAGUGAACGCAGGUGGGAGCUUCGGCGCACCACCGACCGAUCCUGAUGUUCUCGGAUGGAUUUGAGUAGGAGCGUAGGGCCUCGGACCCGAAAGAUGGUGAACUAUACGUGAAUAGGGUGAAGCCAGAGGAAACUCUGGUGGAGGCUCGCAGCGGUUCUGACGUGCAAAUCGAUCGUCAAAUUUGCGUAUGGGGGCGAAAGACUAAUCGAACCAU
Molecule: ribosomal RNA, 846 nt
Filed under: Thozetella suttonii
Lineage: Eukaryota; Fungi; Ascomycota; Sordariomycetes; Chaetosphaeriales; Chaetosphaeriaceae
Description: partial large subunit ribosomal RNA
Rfam family: Eukaryotic large subunit ribosomal RNA
Source: RNAcentral